This 306-nucleotide ribosomal RNA is filed under the name Draconarius sp. SD040. Its description in RNAcentral is "partial 12S ribosomal RNA". Lineage: Eukaryota; Metazoa; Arthropoda; Arachnida; Araneae; Agelenidae. The record is from RNAcentral.
AAACUAAUUUGAUUUGGCGGCACUUUACCUAUUUAGAGGAAUUUGUCCUUUAAUCGAUAAUCCGCGCUAAAUUUUACUUUAAAAAAAAAUUUAUAUAUCGCCAUCUUAAGAAUAAAUCUAAAAAUAUUUUCCAAAAAAAAAAUAAAAAGUUAGGUCAAGGUGUAAUUUACAUUAAAGAAUGAGAUGAAUUACAUUAAAAAUUAUUUAAAGAUUAUAUAUAAAUAUAUUUAUACAAAUAAGAAUUUAAAAGCAAUAUUAAAACAAUAUUACAAUAUGACAUAGAUAAUAAAUGUGCACACAUCGCCC